GCACAAGCAGCGGAGCGUGUGGUUUAAUUCGAUGUUACACGAAGAACCUUUACCAGGGUUUGACAUGCAAGUGGUAGGAAACCGAAAGGUGACCGACCCUUCGGGAGCUUGCACAGGUGCUGCAUGGCUGUCGUCAGCUCGUGUCGUGAGAUGUUCGGUUAAGUCCGCUAACGAGCGCAACCCUCGCUGUGUGUUAUAUGUGUCACACGGGACUGCCGGUCUUAAGCCGGAGGAAGGUGGGGAUGAUGUCAAGUCAGCAUGGCCUUUAUAUCCUGGGCUACACACACGCUACAAUGGCCAGCACAGUAGGUUGCUAAGCCGCGAGGUGGAGCCAAUCCAUAAAGCUGGUCUCAGUUCAGAUUGCAGGCUGCAACCCGCCUGCAUGAAGAUGGAGUUGCUAGUAACCGCAGGUCAGCUAUACUGCGGUGAAUACGUUCCCGGGGCUU
This 446-nucleotide ribosomal RNA is filed under the name uncultured Leptolinea sp. RNAcentral's name for it is "bacterial SSU rRNA". It matches the Rfam family "Bacterial small subunit ribosomal RNA", at positions 923 to 1382 of the family's 1533-position model. Lineage: Bacteria; Bacillati; Chloroflexota; Anaerolineae; Anaerolineales; Anaerolineaceae. The record is from RNAcentral.